This 376-nucleotide long non-coding RNA is filed under the name Linum usitatissimum (flax). RNAcentral describes it as "long non-coding RNA (LUSI_LNC001339)". Lineage: Eukaryota; Viridiplantae; Streptophyta; Magnoliopsida; Malpighiales; Linaceae. The record is from RNAcentral.
UUAUGCCACCUUUCCUUCCUCUCCUUCCUUCUCCUCUAUUCAUUCUUCGUCCAAUGCUUCCAAGGUAUUCUCUUCACUUCAUUCUUUCCCUUUUUUUCCUCGCUUAGGUUUUACGGGAUCGCCGUUGCCAAUUUCCGUUUCACCAUUUGCUUGUCGGGUUUCCUGAAGGUACAGGAUCUAGCCGGCAGUCCUCGAGGUUAUACCUCCAUGAGUAGCAUCAACAAACAAAAUCCGGAUCCCGAUCGCAGACCAGGUAGAUUUUGGGGUACUCUCGCGCGAAAAGCUAAAUCAAUUAUCGACGAGGUUGCUGAAAAUGGAGAUCAGCGACAACAGCAACAGCACUCUCACUCUCCUGCGGAUCCUAAGCCACGUUCUG